Molecule: non-coding RNA, 72 nt
Organism: Megalops atlanticus (tarpon)
Lineage: Eukaryota; Metazoa; Chordata; Actinopteri; Elopiformes; Megalopidae
Source: the annotation of a GenBank genome assembly
GAAGGUGUAGCAUAGUGGUAAAGAGCAGGGCUCAUAACCAAGAGAUUCCUGGUUCGAUUCCCCGCCGGGGCA